CCUGUUGGUGUCCUACCUCUUGGUAAAGACAACUCAUUUUAUUAUUCACAACUGAGGGAAAGGAAAGGGAAUAAUGAACUACCAGCAAGGUCGAUUGGUGAGGCUACAAUGAAUAUCAUUCGUGGUAACACAAAACUAGUCAACAUCAUCAAAUUGCAGCCAGAGAAAGGGAAGACCCUGUAUGCUGUUAGCUCAGUGAAGUGGGGAGUGGUACAUGAUGCUGAGAUUAAUAAGAAUAGUUGGAGGUUGUUUGGUUUGUUUAGGACGUUUCUCUCUUAUACCAGCACAGCAGUUAG
Molecule: long non-coding RNA, 296 nt
Organism: Amphimedon queenslandica
Lineage: Eukaryota; Metazoa; Porifera; Demospongiae; Haplosclerida; Niphatidae
Exons: 4
Source: RefSeq, a predicted model, not a curated record